UGCGAAGACUUUACAUAUCGU
RNAcentral lists this non-coding RNA (21 nucleotides) under Caenorhabditis elegans. Lineage: Eukaryota; Metazoa; Nematoda; Chromadorea; Rhabditida; Rhabditidae. The record is from RNAcentral.